GCCCCGGUGGUGUAGUCCGGUAAUCUUGCGUUCGCAAAAGCUAAACCAAAGGAAGAGAACACAAGGUUGGGCAACCAAUCAUGCGGCCCUUUCGACAGCUUAUUAGCGAAAGAAAGGCCGCGACACGGGUUCAAAUCCCGUCCGGGGCA
This is a transfer RNA of 149 nucleotides. It matches the Rfam family "tRNA". From Rfam's summary of the family: Transfer RNA (tRNA) molecules are approximately 80 nucleotides in length.